AGCGAACGCUGGCGGCAGGCCUAACACAUGCAAGUCGAACGGAUCCUUCGGGAUUAGUGGCGGACGGGUGAGUAACACGUGGGAACGUGCCCUUUGGUUCGGAACAACUCAGGGAAACUUGAGCUAAUACCGGAUGUGCCCUUCGGGGGAAAGAUUUAUCGCCAUUGGAGCGGCCCGCGUCUGAUUAGCUAGUUGGUGAGGUAAAGGCUCACCAAGGCGACGAGCAGUAGCUGGUCUGAGAGGAUGAACAGCCACAUUGGGACUGAGACACGGCCCAAACUCCUACGGGAGGCAGCAGUGGGGAAUCUUGCGCAAUGGGCGAAAGCCUGACGCAGCCAUGCCGCGUGAAUGAUGAAGGUCUUAGGAUUGUAAAAUUCUUUCACCGGGGACGAUAAUGACGGUACCCGGAGAAGAAGCCCCGGCCAACUUCGUGCCAGCCGCCGCCGCGG
Molecule: ribosomal RNA, 449 nt
Filed under: uncultured bacterium
Lineage: Bacteria
Description: partial 16S ribosomal RNA
Rfam family: Bacterial small subunit ribosomal RNA
Source: RNAcentral